UCGUUCGCAGCUCGAGCUGCAGUUGAAGUUAAUCGGGAAACUUAAGCAGAAUGAAGAUUAAAGUCGCAUUAUUUUUAAUAAUCGCCUCAAUUGCACUGGCCAGCGGUUUUCGAAUGCCCGACUGUCCGCAUUGGAGUAAAUGUUAGAAGGAUUACAAAGCUGGACGAAUUAUUUACUAGAUGUAAAAUUCGAAAAUUCGAAAAUUCUCUAUUUAUUUAUCACAAAAUAUGUGUGUGUGUGCGUGUCGAGUUGUAUAUUUAGUGUCUAGAAAUGUCAACAGGAUCGGAACUCCCUACAUAGAGUAAAUAAACAGUUUAUUAAUCGAAAUGGAAA
Molecule: small RNA, 333 nt
Filed under: Drosophila mojavensis
Lineage: Eukaryota; Metazoa; Arthropoda; Insecta; Diptera; Drosophilidae
Description: GI26054
Source: RNAcentral